This 480-nucleotide ribosomal RNA is filed under the name uncultured archaeon. Its description in RNAcentral is "bacterial SSU rRNA". It matches the Rfam family "Archaeal small subunit ribosomal RNA", at positions 384 to 865 of the family's 1478-position model. The record is from RNAcentral.
AGUGGCUGGGGUAAGACCCAGUCUUUUCAGAACUCUUCAAAGGUUUUAGAAUAAGGGGUGGGUAAGGACGGUGCCAGCCGCCGCGGUAAUACCGGCGCCUCAAGUGGUAGUCGCUUUUAUUGGGCCUAAAACGUCCGUAGCCGGUUUGGUACAUUCGUGGGUAAAUCAACUCGCUCAACGAGUUGAAUUCUGCGAGGACGGCCAGACUUGGGACCGGGAGAGGUGUGGGGUACUCUCAGGGUAGGGGUAAAAUCCUGUCAUCCUGAGAGGACCACCUGUUGCGAAGGCGCCACACUAGAACGGAUCCGACGGUCAGGGACGAAGCCUAGGGGCACGAACCGGAUUAGAUACCCGGGUAGUCCUAGGUGUAAACGCUGUGGACUUGAUGUUGGAGGAGCUCCGAGCUCUUUCAGUGUCGAAGCGAAGGUGAUAAGUCCACUGCCUGGGAAGUACGGUCGCAAGGCUGAAACUUAAAGGAAU